UGGGGAAUAUUGCACAAUGGGGGAAACCCUGAUGCAGCGACGCCGCGUGAGCGAAGAAGGCUUUCGAGUCGUAAAGCUCUGUCCUAUGAGAAGAUAAUGACGGUAUCAUAGGAGGAAGCCCUGGCUAAAUACGUGCCAGCAGCCGCGGUAAUACGUAUGGGGCGAGCGUUGUCCGGAAUUAUUGGGCGUAAAGGGUACGUAGGUGGUUUUUUAAGUCAGGUGUCAAAGCGUGGAGCUUAACUCCAUUAAGCACUUGAAACUGAAAGACUUGAGUGAAGGAGAGGAAAGUGGAAUUCCUAGUGUAGAGGUGAAAUGCGUAGAUAUUAGGAGGAAUACCGGUGGCGAAGGCGACUUUCUGGACUUUUACUGACGCUCAGGUACGAAAGCGUGGGGAGCAAACAGG
Molecule: ribosomal RNA, 403 nt
Filed under: Verrucomicrobiota bacterium
Lineage: Bacteria; Pseudomonadati; Verrucomicrobiota
Description: Verrucomicrobia bacterium partial 16S ribosomal RNA
Rfam family: Bacterial small subunit ribosomal RNA
Source: RNAcentral